RNAcentral lists this ribosomal RNA (455 nucleotides) under Acrotaphus wiltii. RNAcentral describes it as "partial 28S ribosomal RNA". The record is from RNAcentral. Lineage: Eukaryota; Metazoa; Arthropoda; Insecta; Hymenoptera; Ichneumonidae.
CCUGAGAAACCCAAAAGAUCGAAAGGGGAGAUUCAUCGUCAGCGUUACUGGUACGUGGGCGGUUCGCGAUGUCCGAGACUUCGGUCUCGCGAUACGCGUCCGCUCGACCUUAUUGACUGGUAUCGUCGGCGUGCACUUCUCCUCUAGUAGGACGUCGCGACCCGUUGAGUGUCGGUCUACGGCCCGGGUGGGUGCCUGUUUCGUGUGCGCUUUAUCGUGUCACUGCGAGACAGACCCCCGGAUGCUUGACCGUCUGCUCGGCGGUACUCGCAAGGUAUUUGGCCGCAAAUAUUCGAACUGCGUCCGGCCCGUCGCAAGCGAGGCGAGUGUUUCCCGAAUGUACGGAUCUAAUGCCGUCAUCGGGCCUAGCCAGCUGUUGGUUGACGGUGUCCUAGGACUGGCUAUAAAAAUUAUGAUACCGGUCAGCGACGCUACUGCUUUGGGUACUUUCAGGA